RNAcentral lists this ribosomal RNA (257 nucleotides) under uncultured prokaryote. RNAcentral's name for it is "partial 16S ribosomal RNA". It matches the Rfam family "Bacterial small subunit ribosomal RNA", at positions 524 to 780 of the family's 1533-position model. The record is from RNAcentral.
UACGGAGGAUGCGAGCGUUAUCCGGAUUCAUUGGGUUUAAAGGGUGCGUAGGCGGUUUUUUAAGUCAGUGGUGAAAUCCUGCGGCUCAACCGUAGAACUGCCAUUGAAACUGAAGAACUUGAAUAUAGUUGAGGUAGGCGGAAUGUGCAGUGUAGCGGUGAAAUGCUUAGAUAUUGCACAGAACACCGAUUGCGAAGGCAGCUUACCAAGCUAUUAUUGACGCUGAGGCACGAAAGCGUGGGGAUCGAACAGGAUUA